This 241-nucleotide ribosomal RNA is filed under the name uncultured eukaryote. Its description in RNAcentral is "partial 18S ribosomal RNA". It matches the Rfam family "Eukaryotic small subunit ribosomal RNA", at positions 1299 to 1458 of the family's 1831-position model. The record is from RNAcentral.
UCGUGGAGUGAUUUGUCUGGUUAAUUCCGAUAACGAACGAGACUCAAAUAUAUUAAAUAGAUGCAUACAGGACUAUGACAUUGAAGCUUUGCAUACGCGUUUGUUUUGGGGCUUCGGUUCUCAUUAGCAAAAUGUCGUUGUGUAGGUGGAGUCAUACCUGUUUGUUUGUCUAAAAUCAAAUAGACACUUAGCUUCUUAAAUGGACAAAUUGUGUCUAACAAUAUGAGAUUGAGCAAUAACA